AGUGAACGCUGGCGGCAGGCCUAACACAUGCAAGUCGAGCGGCAGCGCGGGGGCAACCCUGGCGGCGAGCGGCGGACGGGUGAGGAAUUCGUCGGAAUCUGCCUUUUUGUGGGGGAUAACGUAGGGAAACUUACGCUAAUACCGCAUACGUCCUACGGGAGAAAGUGGGGGACCGCAAGGCCUCACGCAGAAAGAUGAGCCGACGACCGAUUAGCUAGUUGGUGGGGUAAAGGCCCACCAAGGCGACGAUCGGUAGCUGGUCUGAGAGGAUGAUCAGCCACACUGGGACUGAGACACGGCCCAGACUCCUACGGGAGGCAGCAGUGGGGAAUAUUGGACAAUGGGCGCAAGCCUGAUCCAGCCAUGCCGCGUGUGUGAAGAAGGCUUUCGGGUUGUAAAGCACUUUUGUCCGGAAAGAAAUCCCUGGAGCUAAUACCUUCGGGGGAUGACGGUACCGGAAGAAUAAGCACCGGCUAACUUCGUG
This 484-nucleotide ribosomal RNA is filed under the name uncultured bacterium. RNAcentral's name for it is "partial 16S ribosomal RNA". It matches the Rfam family "Bacterial small subunit ribosomal RNA", at positions 29 to 507 of the family's 1533-position model. The record is from RNAcentral.